CAGCAUAACUUGUAAGACUUCGCGAAUAAAAUGCCUCUAAACACAACGCCGCCGUGUAUUAAACAGUGUUGGAAUCUAAUGGAAAAUGUCGGGUAAAUCUCUUAAAGACGUAUAUUAUAAUAUGAAACUCUUGUAUUUUCGGUGCUGCUCAUUUUUAACGUCCGUUUCAAAACAAAUGGCACGACGUGUGUUCCCGCUUGGUUUACUAUACAUAAUCGAUUAAGACGGGACAGUAAUAAACGAGAGACUUUCGUAUAGCUGCAAUUAUUUUUUAUAACUCUGAGACGCAGAACUAAUAAAUGUUCCCUGUCGUCGAUAGGAAAGGCGAAAUUAUUACAAAAUCGAAUAUCAUCGCUCUAGUGGACAUCGUUUUAACCGAGUUAAACAAUUCGUAUAAAACUAUUUCGAACGAAAUUCCGUUUGUUAUACGAUUACGCGCUAGCAAUUUAGAUGCACUGUAAUAAUUAUUAU
Cinara cedri is the source of this 471-nucleotide non-coding RNA. The record is from the annotation of a GenBank genome assembly. NCBI's taxonomy places the organism in Eukaryota, Metazoa, Arthropoda, Insecta, Hemiptera, Aphididae.